This 914-nucleotide ribosomal RNA is filed under the name uncultured archaeon. RNAcentral describes it as "bacterial SSU rRNA". It matches the Rfam family "Archaeal small subunit ribosomal RNA", at positions 1 to 922 of the family's 1478-position model. The record is from RNAcentral.
UUCCGGUUGAUCCCGCCGGACCUGACUGCUAUCGGAUUGAUACUAAGCCAUGCGAGUCAUUGUAGUAAUACAAGGCAGACGGCUCAGUAACGCGUAGUCAACCUACCCUGUGGACGGGGAUAACCUCGGGAAACUGAGAAUAAUACCCGAUAGAACAUUAUGCCUGGAAUGGUUUAUGUUUCAAAUAAUUUAUUGCCGUAGGAUGGGACUGCGUCCUAUCAGUUUGUUGGUGAGGUAAUGGCCCACCAAGACUAUUACAGGUACGGGCUCUGAGAGGAGUAGCCCGGAGAUGGGUACUGAGACACGGACCCAGGCCCUAUGGGGCGCAGCAGGCGAGAAAACUUUGCAAUGUGCGAAAGCACGACAAGGUUAAUCCGAGUGGUUUCUGCUAAAGGAACCUUUUGUCAGUCCUAGAAACACUGAUGAAUAAGGGGUGGGCAAGUUCUGGUGUCAGCCGCCGCGGUAAAACCAGCACCUCAAGUGGUCAGGAUGAUUAUUGGGCCUAAAGCAUCCGUAGCCUGCUUUGUAAGUUUUCGGUUAAAUCCAUACGCUCAACGUAUGGGCUGCCGGGAAUACUGCAAAGCUAGGGAGUGGGAGAGGUAGACGGUACUCGGUAGGAAGGGGUAAAAUCCUUUGAUCUAUUGAUGACCACCUGUGGCGAAGGCGGUCUACCAGAACACGUCCGACGGUGAGGGAUGAAAGCUGGGGGAGCAAACCGGAUUAGAUACCCGGGUAGUCCCAGCUGUAAACUAUGCAAACUCAGUGAUGCAUUGGCUUGAUGCCAAUGCAGUGCUGCAGGGAAGCCGUUAAGUUUGCCGCCUGGGAAGUACGUACGCAAGUAUGAAACUUAAAGGAAUUGGCGGGGGAGCACCACAAGGGGUGAAGCCUGCGGUUCAAUUGGAUUCAACGCCGGA